This 303-nucleotide ribosomal RNA is filed under the name uncultured bacterium. RNAcentral's name for it is "bacterial SSU rRNA". It matches the Rfam family "Bacterial small subunit ribosomal RNA", at positions 355 to 675 of the family's 1533-position model. The record is from RNAcentral.
UGGGGAAUAUUGCACAAUGGGGGAAACCCUGAUGCAGCGACGCCGCGUGAAGGAAGAAGUAUCUCGGUAUGUAAACUUCUAUCAGCAGGGAAGAAAAUGACGGUACCUGACUAAGAAGCCCCGGCUAACUACGUGCCAGCAGCCGCGGUAAUACGUAGGGGGCAAGCGUUAUCCGGAUUUACUGGGUGUAAAGGGAGCGUAGACGGAGCAGCAAGUCUGAUGUGAAAGGCAGGGGCUCAACCCCUGGACUGCAUUGGAAACUGUUGAUCUUGAGUACCGGAGGGGUAAGCGGAAUUCCUAGUG